AGUGAACGCUGGCGGUAGGCCUAACACAUGCAAGUCGAACGGCAGCACAGUAAGAGCUUGCUCUUACGGGUGGCGAGUGGCGAACGGGUGAGGAAUACAUCGGAAUCUACUUUUUCGUGGGGGAUAACGUAGGGAAACUUACGCUAAUACCGCAUACGACCUACGGGUGAAAGCAGGGGAUCUUCGGAUCUUGCGCGAUUGAAUGAGCCGAUGUCGGAUUAGCUAGUUGGCGGGGUAAAGGCCCACCAAGGCGACGAUCCGUAGCUGGUCUGAGAGGAUGAUCAGCCACACUGGAACUGAGACACGGUCCAGACUCCUUCGGGAGGCAGCAGUGGGGAAUAUUGGACAAUGGGCGCAAGCCUGAUCCAACCAUACCGCGUGGGUGAAGAAGGCCUUCGGGUUGUAAAGCCCUUUUGUUGGGAAAGAAAAGCAGCAGGUUAAUACCCCGCUGUUCUGACGGUACCCAAAGAAUAAGCACCGGCUAACUUCGUG
Molecule: ribosomal RNA, 492 nt
Filed under: uncultured bacterium
Lineage: Bacteria
Description: partial 16S ribosomal RNA
Rfam family: Bacterial small subunit ribosomal RNA
Source: RNAcentral